AUUGAACGCUGGCGGCAGGCCUAACACAUGCAAGUCGAGCGCGCGGCGGGCGGGUGAGUGAUGUCUGGGAAAAUGCCUGAGGGGGGGGGGGAACUACUGGAAACGGUAGCUAAUACCCCAUACCAUCAGGUGUGCCCAGAUGGGAUUAGCUAGUGGGUGGGGUAACGGCGCACCUAGGCGACGAUCCCUAGCUGGUCUGAGAGGAUGACCAGCCACACUGGAACUGAGACACGGUCCAGACUCCUACGGGAGGCAGCAGUGGGGAAUAUUGGACAAUGGGCGAAAGCCUGAUGCAGCCAUGCCGCGUGUGUGAAGAAGGCCUUCGGGUUGUAAAGCACUUUCAGCGGGGAGGCGUUACCCGCAGAAGAAGCACCGGCUAACUCCGUGCCAGCAGCCGCGGUAAUAC
This 406-nucleotide ribosomal RNA is filed under the name uncultured bacterium. Its description in RNAcentral is "partial 16S ribosomal RNA". It matches the Rfam family "Bacterial small subunit ribosomal RNA", at positions 29 to 526 of the family's 1533-position model. The record is from RNAcentral.